This 373-nucleotide RNase P RNA is filed under the name Legionella pneumophila. RNAcentral's name for it is "bacterial RNase P". It matches the Rfam family "Bacterial RNase P class A". Rfam says of the family: Ribonuclease P (RNase P) is a ubiquitous endoribonuclease, found in archaea, bacteria and eukarya as well as chloroplasts and mitochondria. Its best characterised activity is the generation of mature 5'-ends of tRNAs by cleaving the 5'-leader elements of precursor-tRNAs. The record is from RNAcentral. Lineage: Bacteria; Pseudomonadati; Pseudomonadota; Gammaproteobacteria; Legionellales; Legionellaceae. RNAcentral also lists the same sequence under 2 other names.
AGAGUCGGUCAGGCAAUCGCUCCUUGCCUAAAGGCAAGGGGAGGAAAGUCCGGGCUCCAUAGGGCAGAGUGCCAGGUAACUCCUGGGAGGUGUGAGCCUACGGAAAGUGCCACAGAAAAUAUACCGCCUGCUAUUCCUUUUGGAGUCGUAGGUAAGGGUGAAAUGGUGCGGUAAGAGCGCACCGCGCGGUUGGUAACAAUCGUGGCAGGGAAAACCCCACUCGGAGCAAGACCAAAUAGGAAUCCAUUUGACUGCAAAGUCAUAACGUAUGGCUCAUACGGGAUUCGGGUAGGUCGCUUGAGGCAUGCGGUGACGCAUGCCCCAGAUGAAUGGUUGCCCACGACAGAACCCGGCUUAUCGACCGACUCCUUUU